ACUUUGUUCAUCUCAUGCCUCUACUCAUCAGCGCCCUUCUUUCUUUGACUAGUGCAGAUUAUGAAGUGGUUUCGAGAAGAAGAAGAAAGUAGAACGAGUGUAAUUCGGUUUGUCAUUUUUCUUCUUUUUCCACUCUGCCUCCAGAUUCAAAGCCUAGAAGCCAAGAUGGAAACCUACCAAUGUCACCUGAAUGGCAGUAUGGAUAACAGCUAGACCUCCAGAAAUGGAUAUUCCACUAACAUUAAAGGAGUAUUGAGAAUCUGUACCAGGUAUGUUCAGCACCACAUAAAGGACAUACCAGCUUAGUGCACCUGGUAAAUUCCUCAUCGCUGAAAUUGUCAAAGAGCUGGAUAAACCAGAAAGACUGAUAACUCAUGUUGGACUUUUUGUAAAAUUUGAACAGAACUCCUGUGGGAGCAGUUAUAAUUUACCAACUGAAUUUUUG
Molecule: long non-coding RNA, 445 nt
Filed under: Gopherus agassizii (Agassiz's desert tortoise)
Lineage: Eukaryota; Metazoa; Chordata; Testudines; Testudinidae
Description: lncRNA (ENSGAGG00000015300.1)
Source: RNAcentral